This 1219-nucleotide ribosomal RNA is filed under the name metagenome. Its description in RNAcentral is "bacterial LSU rRNA". It matches the Rfam family "Bacterial large subunit ribosomal RNA", at positions 1589 to 2817 of the family's 2925-position model. The record is from RNAcentral.
AGCAGUGUAUGUCAGACUUCCAAGAAAAGCUCGCAAUGUCAUAAAUAAAGAAUGCCUGUACCAUAACCGACACAGGUGGGUAGGUAGAGUAUACUAAGGGGCGCGAGAUAACUCUCUCUAAGGAACUCGGCAAAAUAACUCCGUAACUUCGGGAGGAGGAGUGCCUUCUUGAAGAAGGUUGCAAUAACAAGAUCCAAGCAACUGUUUAUCAAAAACACAGGUCUCCGCUAAGUCGAAAGACGAUGUAUGGGGGCUGACGCCUGCCCAGUGCCAGAAGGUUAAAGAAGCUGGUUAGCAAUAGCGAAGCUGGUGACUGAAGCCCUGGUGAACGGCGGCCGUAACAAUAACGGUCCUAAGGUAGCGAAAUUCCUUGUCGGGUAAGUUCCGACCCGCACGAAAGGCGUAAUGAUUUGGAUACUGUCUCGGAGAGGGACUCGGUGAAAUAGACUUGUCUGUGAAGAUGCGGACUACCUGCACCAGGACAGAAAGACCCUAUGAAGCUUUACUGUAACUUGAAAUUGAAAUUGGACUUUAUUUGCGCAGUAUAGGUGGAAGGCGUUGAGAUUACUCUUGCGGGAUUAGUGGAGCCAUCAGUGAGAUACCACUCCUAUAAUGUUAGAUUUCUAACUUUGGAUCAUAAUCUGGUCAAAGAACAGUUUCAGGCGGGCAGUUUGACUGGGGCGGUCGCCUCCCAAAUGGUAACGGAGGCGUACAAAGGUUUCCUCUGAACGGGUAGAAAUCGUAUCUAGAGUGUAAAGGCAUAAGGAAGCUUGACUGUGAGACCUACAAGUCGAGCAGGGACGAAAGUCGGUCUUAGUGAUCUGACGGUGCUGAGUGGAAAGGCCGUCACUCAACGGAUAAAAGUUACUCUAGGAUAACAGGCUGAUCUCCCCCAAGAGUUCACAUCGACGGGGAGGUUUGGCACCUCGAUGUCGGCUCAUCGCAUCCUGGGGCGGUAGUACGUCCCAAGGGUUGGGCUGUUCGCCCAUGAAAGCGGUACGCGGGCUGGGUUCAGAACGUCGUGAGACAGUUCGGUCCAUAUCCGGUGUAGGCGUUAGAAUAUUGAGAGGAGCCUUCUUUAGUACGAGAGGACCGAGAAGGACAUACCUCUGGUGUACCAGUUAUCGUGCCAACGGUAAACGCUGGGUAGCUAUGUAUGGAGAGGAUAACCGCUGAAAGCAUCUAAGUGGGAAGCCCACCUCAAGAUGAGUAUUCUCAU